GAAAAAGUUAUAGGGGCUAUAGAAUUGGCUUGAAACCAGUUUCAGAGGGUUCAACUCCUUCCUUUUUUA
RNAcentral lists this transfer RNA (69 nucleotides) under Piliocolobus badius (western red colobus). RNAcentral describes it as "tRNA-Ser". It matches the Rfam family "tRNA". From Rfam's summary of the family: Transfer RNA (tRNA) molecules are approximately 80 nucleotides in length. Their secondary structure includes four short double-helical elements and three loops (D, anti-codon, and T loops). Further hydrogen bonds mediate the characteristic L-shaped molecular structure. tRNAs have two regions of fundamental functional importance: the anti-codon, which is responsible for specific mRNA codon recognition, and the 3' end, to which the tRNAs corresponding amino acid is attached (by aminoacyl-tRNA synthetases). tRNAs cope with the degeneracy of the genetic code in two manners: having more than one tRNA (with a specific anti-codon) for a particular amino acid; and 'wobble' base-pairing, i.e. permitting non-standard base-pairing at the 3rd anti-codon position. RNAcentral also lists the same sequence under 1 other name. Lineage: Eukaryota; Metazoa; Chordata; Mammalia; Primates; Cercopithecidae. The record is from RNAcentral.